RNAcentral lists this ribosomal RNA (791 nucleotides) under Sphingobacterium daejeonense. RNAcentral's name for it is "bacterial SSU rRNA". It matches the Rfam family "Bacterial small subunit ribosomal RNA", at positions 52 to 836 of the family's 1533-position model. Lineage: Bacteria; Pseudomonadati; Bacteroidota; Sphingobacteriia; Sphingobacteriales; Sphingobacteriaceae. The record is from RNAcentral.
UACAUGCAGUCGGACGGGAUCCGGGGGUAGCUUGCUACCUUCGGUGAGAGUGGCGCACGGGUGCGUAACGCGUGAGCAACCUACCCAUAUCAGGGGGAUAGCCCGGAGAAAUCCGGAUUAACACCGCAUGCAACCAAUGGACGGCAUCGUUUUUUGGUUAAAUAUUUAUAGGAUAUGGAUGGGCUCGCGUGACAUUAGCUAGUUGGUGGGGUAACGGCCCACCAAGGCGACGAUGUCUAGGGGCUCUGAGAGGAGAAUCCCCCACACUGGUACUGAGACACGGACCAGACUCCUACGGGAGGCAGCAGUAAGGAAUAUUGGUCAAUGGGGGCAACCCUGAACCAGCCAUGCCGCGUGCAGGACGACUGCCCUAUGGGUUGUAAACUGCUUUUGUCGGGGAAUAAACCCCACUACGUGUAGUGGGCUGAAUGUACCCGAAGAAUAAGGAUCGGCUAACUCCGUGCCAGCAGCCGCGGUAAUACGGAGGAUCCGAGCGUUAUCCGGAUUUAUUGGGUUUAAAGGGUGCGUAGGCGGCACUUUAAGUCAGGGGUGAAAGACGGCAGCUCAACUGUCGCAGUGCCCUUGAUACUGAAGUGCUUGAAUGCGGUUGAAGACGGCGGAAUGAGACAAGUAGCGGUGAAAUGCAUAGAUAUGUCUCAGAACACCGAUAGCGAAGGCAGCUGUCUAAGCCGUUAUUGACGCUGAUGCACGAAAGCGUGGGGAUCGAACAGGAUUAGAUACCCUGGUAGUCCACGCCCUAAACGAUGAUACUCGAUGUUUGCGAUAUACCG